UACAGAGGUCUCAAGCGUUGUUCGGAUUCAUUGGGCGUAAAGGGUGCGUAGGUGGCGGGGCAAGUUUGGUGUGAAAUCCCGGGGCUCAACCCUGGAACUGCACUGAAUACUGCUUUGCUAGAGUACUGGAGAGGGAACUGGAAUUUACGGUGUAGCAGUGAAAUGCGUAGAUAUCGUAAGGAAGACCAGUGGCGAAGGCGGAUCUCUGGACAGUUACUGACACUGAGGCACGAAGGCCAGGGGAGCAAACGGG
RNAcentral lists this ribosomal RNA (253 nucleotides) under uncultured bacterium. RNAcentral's name for it is "partial 16S ribosomal RNA". It matches the Rfam family "Bacterial small subunit ribosomal RNA", at positions 524 to 776 of the family's 1533-position model. The record is from RNAcentral.